This 252-nucleotide ribosomal RNA is filed under the name uncultured bacterium. Its description in RNAcentral is "partial 16S ribosomal RNA". It matches the Rfam family "Bacterial small subunit ribosomal RNA", at positions 524 to 776 of the family's 1533-position model. The record is from RNAcentral.
UACGAAAGGAGCAGGUGUUAUUCAGAUUAACUGGGCGUAAAGGGCACGUAGGUGGUUUGUUAUGUGUACUAUAAAAUUAUAAAGCAUAACUUUAUAUCGUAGUAUAGACAAUUAAACUAGAGUUAGGUAGAGGGUAGUAGAAUUUCUAAUGUAAAGGUGAAAUUUGAUAAAUUUAGAGAGAAUACCAAUGGCGUAGGCAACUACCUAGGCCUUAACUGACACUGAGGUGCGAAGGUAUGGGGAGCAAAUAGG